CUUUUCUGGCUACUGAAGUGGAGAUGCAGGGGGAGAUGAUCAAUCGGAUUGAGAAGAACAUCCUGAGCUCAGCGGACUACGUGGAACGCGGGCAAGAGCACGUCAAGACGGCCCUGGAGAACCAGAAGAAGGCGAGGAAGGUGAGCCUCCCAGGCCCGGCCACUGUCCCAGGCACCCUGUGUGUCUUCCCUGACCCCCUCCUCUCCCACAGAAGAAAGUCUUGAUUGCCAUCUGUGUGUCCAUCACCGUCGUCCUCCUAGCAGUCAUCAUUGGCAUCACAGUGGUUGGAUAAUGUCGCACAUUGUUGGCACUAGGAGCACCAGGGACCCAGGGCCUGGCCUUCUGUCCCAGCAGCCUGGGGGGCAGGGCAGAGCCUCCAGUCGGACCCCUUCCUCACACUGGCCCCUAUGCAGAAGGGCAGACAGUUCUUCUGGGGUUGGCAGCUGCUCAUUCAUGGUGGCCUCCUCCUUCAGGCCUCAAUGCCUGAGGGAGGCCUGCACUGUCCUGAUUGGCCAGGACACACGAUUUUGUAAAAAAUUAAAAAACAAAAAAAGAGCAUAGAAA
RNAcentral lists this small RNA (564 nucleotides) under Pongo abelii (Sumatran orangutan). RNAcentral's name for it is "retained intron". Lineage: Eukaryota; Metazoa; Chordata; Mammalia; Primates; Hominidae. The record is from RNAcentral.